UGGCCAAUAGAGUGAGAGCAAAGUUCCAGAGGAAUUUCUAUUGGAGUAAUAUAGUAAAGCCACGCCCACUAUGCUCACAAAUUAAAAUCUGAAGGCGCAACUUUUUUUUCUCCGCACUUCUCCCACAAAACACUCGUGGAAGAGUAAGGAGUAUUUUCUUCACCUUUAUGGAUCAAAUACCAGUUUAGGAGCAAUAUUACAAUCCAGUAGAUGGGAGUGGGUUUCUGGCAUGGAGAGUGAAAGCACUUCAAAAAGAAGCAUCAGAGGGACAAAAGAAGAACAGAACCGCUCAGCUAAUGACGGGUGGUCCAAAUGCUUGUGACAGAAUCCCCUUCUGUGAGGAAAACCAGCUAACAGAAGCCCAGUGUUGUGAGGCCAUUGCACUGAUGAAGCAUACAACGGAUGAAGCAAUCAUCAAGAAGAUGAAACAGACCUUCACCUAUCGCCAAGCAAUGGUUCAUGAUCCAAUUAAGUCCUCUGAAAUAUUCACCACCUUUCCCAGAUUCCUUGACAUCGCAGGAAUGGUAUGUGGCUCUUCAACUGCCUUGCCUUAAGGUCAAGCUGAAAAUUAAAAAUGACUUAACCAUUUUACAUCACAUCACUGGUUAUAGUGUGCACCUA
Myripristis murdjan (pinecone soldierfish) is the source of this 621-nucleotide long non-coding RNA. RefSeq lists it as uncharacterized. NCBI's taxonomy places the organism in Eukaryota, Metazoa, Chordata, Actinopteri, Holocentriformes, Holocentridae. The transcript is spliced from 3 exons. The record is from RefSeq and is a predicted model, not a curated record.